UGAACGCUGGCGGCGUGCUUAACACAUGCAAGUCGUACGAGAACACCCUAGCUUGCUAGGGUAAGUAAAGUGGCGCACGGGUGAGUAACGCGUGGGUAAUCUACCUUCGAAUUGGGGAUAACGUUGCGAAAGCGACGCUAAUACCGAAUAACAUCCAUUUGCCUUCGGGUUUUUGGAUCAAGGUUGGCCUCUACAUGUAAGCUACUGUUUGAAGAUGAUCCCGCGUACCAUUAGCUUGUUGGUGGGGUAAUGGCCUACCAAGGCAACGAUGGUUAGCUGGUCUGAGAGGAUGAUCAGCCACACUGGAACUGACACACGGUCCAGACUCCUACGGGAGGCAGCAGUGAGGAAUUUUGCGCAAUGGGCGAAAGCCUGACGCAGCAACGCCGCGUGAGUGAUGAAGGCUUUCGGGUCGUAAAGCUCUGUCAAGUGGGAAGAACCUGCAGUAUGUUAAUACCAUAUUGCACUGACGGUACCACUGAAGGAAGCACCGGCUAACUCC
RNAcentral lists this ribosomal RNA (502 nucleotides) under uncultured bacterium. RNAcentral's name for it is "bacterial SSU rRNA". It matches the Rfam family "Bacterial small subunit ribosomal RNA", at positions 30 to 504 of the family's 1533-position model. The record is from RNAcentral.